UACGUAGGGGGCGAGCGUUGUCCGGAAUCAUUGGGCGUAAAGCGCGUGUAGGCGGCCCGGUAAGUCCGCUGUGAAAGUCCAGGGCUCAACCCUGGGAUGCCGGUGGAUACUGUCGGGCUCGAGUCCGGAAGAGGCGAGUGGAAUUCCUGGUGUAGCGGUGAAAUGCGCAGAUAUCAGGAGGAACACCUGUGGUGUAAACAGCUUACUGGACCACUUCUGACGCUGAGACACGAAAGCGUGGGGAGCGAACAGG
RNAcentral lists this ribosomal RNA (253 nucleotides) under uncultured bacterium. RNAcentral describes it as "partial 16S ribosomal RNA". It matches the Rfam family "Bacterial small subunit ribosomal RNA", at positions 524 to 776 of the family's 1533-position model. The record is from RNAcentral.